AGUUAAGCUCAAGUUAGGCUCAACUUUGAGGUGGUUUUAAAAGACCGAAAGUAUCUUGCUGUUUAGGCUGGACUUGAGGCAAGGGUAAAGAUAUAAAUAAGUAAAAGUGGGACCGAGCUGAAGCAGAACCUUGUCUGGAUGAUGUACAUAUGGCUACUUUGACCUGGGGAUGGCCUAUCUAUAUGUUUUGUUAUAUGUUACCUAGUAAUGACACGUUUUAUAAUACGUUUUAAGUAUGGUUUGUAUUAAAGAAUGAAAGUAGACUUUAUAUGUGUGUAAUAUGGUUUUGUUGGGAAAA
Molecule: long non-coding RNA, 298 nt
Organism: Daucus carota subsp. sativus
Lineage: Eukaryota; Viridiplantae; Streptophyta; Magnoliopsida; Apiales; Apiaceae
Exons: 3
Source: RefSeq, a predicted model, not a curated record